CGCAGGGCCCACACACGGCUCUGCAGCCACUUCCAGUCAAGGCCUGGGUCACGGAAACCACACGGCGCCUUCCUGUAGAAGCAAGAGAAGGGAGCUGGCUUCCUCGAGAUGCCUGUUACUUCGGCGACGGUGCGUGCACUAUCUUAUUUAAUCACUCGACACGAGGGUGUUCGCAAAAAGAAGAGGGCUGGAUGGUGGGUCUGCAUGUCUCUCUGCAGAUAAAAAGUUGGAAUCCACUGCCCCACAUUACACUUUGAGUUACUCUAUGAAGGUUUGUUGAUGUCAAUAUCAGGAACUCAAAGAAUUGCCUGCCGCAGGAAACUUGACCCCCAAAACACAUCAUGCUACAACAGCCACUUGGCCACGGGCCAGAGCAGCUUCCUGGAACACGCUUGCUCAAAAACAGGGAGAGACGUCAGCUUGACCUCUGCUUUGUGCGCAGGAAAGCUGACCUUCAACCAGCGAACCUCAGCCCCAGCGCCCCUCCCUCUUGUCAUAGUCUCGCCUGUCGUCAGGCCCUGGGCCAGCCAGAGAGGCUGGGCGCAACGCCUGGCUCCUGCUGCCCGGGCCGCGCGGGGACGCGGACUGCUCGUUCUGCCUGGAGACCUGCUGAGUUUCGUUCUGAACAACGGCUCUGCCAAAGUAAACCGAGACAGAGAGUUAAAGAAAUAACAAAAUGACAAAACAGCUCCUUUUUCUGUACAGGACUCAAGAUUCAUGGUGAGAAGGAGCCAUUUAAUUUCAAAACCAAGGCUCUGGAGCCAGUGUUGUGGCACAGUGGGAAAAGCUGCUGCCAGCGACACAGGCAUCCCGUACGGGUGCUGGUUCACGUCCCAGCUAAGCCACUUCUGAUCCAGCUCCCUGCUCAUGACCUGGGAAGAGCAGUGGAAGAUGGCCCAAGUGCUUGGGCCCCUGCCACCCACGUGGGAGACCUGGAUGCAGCUUCUGGCUCCCAGCUUCUGCCCGCCCCACUGACCAUCUGUGGAGUGAACCAGCAGGUGGAAGCUCUCAUUCUCUCCCCCACCCUCUGU
Lepus europaeus (European hare) is the source of this 1031-nucleotide long non-coding RNA. RefSeq lists it as uncharacterized. The record is from RefSeq and is a predicted model, not a curated record. The transcript is spliced from 3 exons. NCBI's taxonomy places the organism in Eukaryota, Metazoa, Chordata, Mammalia, Lagomorpha, Leporidae.